This 465-nucleotide ribosomal RNA is filed under the name Vreelandella stevensii. Its description in RNAcentral is "partial 16S ribosomal RNA". It matches the Rfam family "Bacterial small subunit ribosomal RNA", at positions 338 to 795 of the family's 1533-position model. Lineage: Bacteria; Pseudomonadati; Pseudomonadota; Gammaproteobacteria; Oceanospirillales; Halomonadaceae. The record is from RNAcentral.
CCUACGGGCGGCAGCAGUGGGGAAUAUUGGACAAUGGGGGCAACCCUGAUCCAGCCAUGCCGCGUGUGUGAAGAAGGCCCUCGGGUUGUAAAGCACUUUCAGUGAGGAAGAACGCCUGGUGGUUAAUACCCAUCAGGAAAGACAUCACUCACAGAAGAAGCACCGGCUAACUCCGUGCCAGCAGCCGCGGUAAUACGGAGGGUGCGAGCGUUAAUCGGAAUUACUGGGCGUAAAGCGCGCGUAGGUGGCUUGAUAAGCCGGUUGUGAAAGCCCCGGGCUCAACCUGGGAACGGCAUCCGGAACUGUCAAGCUAGAGUGUAGGAGAGGAAGGUAGAAUUCCCGGUGUAGCGGUGAAAUGCGUAGAGAUCGGGAGGAAUACCAGUGGCGAAGGCGGCCUUCUGGACUGACUCUGACACUGAGGUGCGAAAGCGUGGGUAGCAAACAGGAUUAGAUACCCUGGUAGUC